UACUUUGUUUGGCGAGAGUUUAUUAUCCGCUGUACUACAGUUAUAUGGUGGAACAAUAUUGCCAGCAGCUACUUGAUCUUGUGACAGUUGCCUCGAAAUUUACAGCCACCACUUUUGAUUCGACUGCCCAGGGAGAAGUUGUCUUUUCCUGGCGGCUGGGGGAAGAUCGAUUACUGAAUUUAAGCGAGUACGCCUCCUACCUUUGCCUUCUCAGUAAUCUUCUCGUGAUUCUAAGAAGAACUCUUG
This is a long non-coding RNA of Zophobas morio, 246 nucleotides long. RefSeq lists it as uncharacterized. NCBI's taxonomy places the organism in Eukaryota, Metazoa, Arthropoda, Insecta, Coleoptera, Tenebrionidae. The transcript is spliced from 3 exons. The record is from RefSeq and is a predicted model, not a curated record.